CGCCUCUGCCCUUCCUGGGCGUUUCCUCCCUAAUGAACUUCAGCCCGGUCUUUUGGCCGGGCUUUCUUUUUGCGCGUC
RNAcentral lists this small RNA (78 nucleotides) under Caulobacter sp. BK020. RNAcentral's name for it is "suhB". It matches the Rfam family "Makes More Granules Regulator RNA (mmgR)". Rfam says of the family: SuhB later renamed mmgR (makes more granules regulator) was a putative non-coding RNA found multiple times in the Agrobacterium tumefaciens genome and related alpha-proteobacteria. Other non-coding RNAs uncovered in the same analysis include: speF, ybhL, metA, and serC. Several studies inSinorhizobium meliloti showed that suhB element is indeed a non-coding RNA:firstly it was detected on Northern blot and called Sm8RNA, secondly in an RNAseq study referred to as SmelC689. Lineage: Bacteria; Pseudomonadati; Pseudomonadota; Alphaproteobacteria; Caulobacterales; Caulobacteraceae. The record is from RNAcentral.